RNAcentral lists this ribosomal RNA (465 nucleotides) under Vreelandella stevensii. RNAcentral's name for it is "partial 16S ribosomal RNA". It matches the Rfam family "Bacterial small subunit ribosomal RNA", at positions 338 to 795 of the family's 1533-position model. The record is from RNAcentral. Lineage: Bacteria; Pseudomonadati; Pseudomonadota; Gammaproteobacteria; Oceanospirillales; Halomonadaceae.
CCUACGGGGAGCUGCAGUGGGGAAUAUUGGACAAUGGGCGAAAGCCUGAUCCAGCCAUGCCGCGUGUGUGAAGAAGGCCUUCGGGUUGUAAAGCACUUUCAGUGGGGAAGAAAGCCUUGGGGCUAAUACCCUCGAGGAAGGACAUCACCCACAGAAGAAGCACCGGCUAACUCCGUGCCAGCAGCCGCGGUAAUACGGAGGGUGCGAGCGUUAAUCGGAAUUACGGGGCGUAAAGCGCGCGUAGGCGGUCUGAUAAGCCGGUUGUGAAAGCCCCGGGCUCAACCUGGGAACGGCAUCCGGAACUGUCAGGCUAGAGUGCAGGAGAGGAAGGUAGAAUUCCCGGUGUAGCGGUGAAAUGCGUAGAGAUCGGGAGGAAUACCAGUGGCGAAGGCGGCCUUCUGGACUGACACUGACGCUGAGGUGCGAAAGCGUGGGUAGCAAACAGGAUUAGAUACCCCAGUAGUC